This 73-nucleotide transfer RNA is filed under the name Micromonosporaceae bacterium. RNAcentral describes it as "tRNA-Asn". It matches the Rfam family "tRNA". From Rfam's summary of the family: Transfer RNA (tRNA) molecules are approximately 80 nucleotides in length. Their secondary structure includes four short double-helical elements and three loops (D, anti-codon, and T loops). The record is from RNAcentral. Lineage: Bacteria; Bacillati; Actinomycetota; Actinomycetes; Micromonosporales; Micromonosporaceae.
UCCCCCAUAGCUCUAAAGGCAGAGCGGCCGGCUGUUAACCGGAAGGUUCUUGGUUCGAGUCCAGGUGGGGGAG